GGCAAGGUGGCCGAGUGGUCUAAGGCGCUGGUUUUAGGUAAUACAAUUACUGAAACACCAGUUCGAAAGAGCGUGGGUUCGAAUCCCAUCCUUGUCA
Molecule: non-coding RNA, 97 nt
Organism: Aspergillus sclerotiicarbonarius CBS 121057
Lineage: Eukaryota; Fungi; Ascomycota; Eurotiomycetes; Eurotiales; Aspergillaceae
Source: the annotation of a GenBank genome assembly